GUCGAACGGUAGAGGGGGCAACCCCUUGAGAGUGGCGAACGGGUGAGUAAUAUAUCGGAACGUGCCCAGUCGUGGGGGAUAACGUAGCGAAAGUUACGCUAAUACCGCAUACGAUCUACGGAUGAAAGCGGGGGAUCGCAAGACCUCGCGCGAUUGGAGCGGCCGAUAUCAGAUUAGGUAGUUGGUGGGGUAAAGGCUCACCAAGCCAACGAUCUGUAGCUGGUCUGAGAGGACGACCAGCCACACUGGAACUGAGACACGGUCCAGACUCCUACGGGAGGCAGCAGUGGGGAAUUUUGGACAAUGGACGCAAGUCUGAUCCAGCCAUUCCGCGUGCAGGAUGAAGGCCCUCGGGUUGUAAACUGCUUUUGUACGGAACGAAAAGGUUUCUCUUAAUACGAGGAGCUCAUGACGGUACCGUAAGAAUAAGCACCGGCUAACUACGUGCCAGCAGCCGCGGUAAUACGUAGGGUGCAAGCGUUAAUCGGAAUUACUGGGCGUAAAGCGUGCGCAGGCGGUUAUGUAAGACAGAGGUGAAAUCCCCGGGCUCAACCUGGGAACUGCCUUUGUGACUGCAUAGCUAGAGUACGGUAGAGGGGGAUGGAAUUCCGCGUGUAGCAGUGAAAUGCGUAGAUAUGCGGAGGAACACCGAUGGCGAAGGCAAUCCCCUGGACUUGUACUGACGCUCAUGCACGAAAGCGUGGGGAGCAAACAGGAUUAGAUACCCUGGUAGUCCACGCCCUAAACGAU
This 750-nucleotide ribosomal RNA is filed under the name uncultured bacterium. RNAcentral's name for it is "bacterial SSU rRNA". It matches the Rfam family "Bacterial small subunit ribosomal RNA", at positions 61 to 810 of the family's 1533-position model. The record is from RNAcentral.